Leptidea sinapis is the source of this 574-nucleotide long non-coding RNA. RefSeq lists it as uncharacterized. NCBI's taxonomy places the organism in Eukaryota, Metazoa, Arthropoda, Insecta, Lepidoptera, Pieridae. The transcript is spliced from 4 exons. The record is from RefSeq and is a predicted model, not a curated record.
GGAAGACUGACCAGAGGCUCUAUAGAUCUCUAGUAGAACUAGAGCUGGGAAAACAGCCGCCUACCACUAGGUUAGACAGCAUAGAAACAAUUGAUCAACAGAAAACUGCUGGCAAACCGCCUAUGAGAUCGUCACCUACAACAAGGUGAAAUGGGCGGUGGACAGCUUCCAGCCUUUCAAGACAGCGGGCACAGAUGGCGUCUUUCCUGCAAUGCUACUGUGGGGAGGAGAUAAGUUGAUGUACAAACUGACAUAUAUCAGGCCUGUCUGGCCUUUAAAUACACUCCCCUUGCCUGGCGGCGUUAGGGUCAUCUUCACACCCAAGCAAGGUGUCACGGACAGCCCUCUAUGCAGAGGUUGCCUGGGGGCAGAGGAAACAGCCGCUCACGUUCUGCUGGAAAGCAGUGAGGUGGCAAACUACAGGGCAAAGUUAAGAGUGAUAGGUUUCGUCUGUACGAGGUUGACUACAAUAGUCCUGAGCGCACUAGGACUCCCCGAAAGUCCGCGUAUCUGUACAAGGAAAUUCUGCGCACGCGAACACUCGAUAUGCAUUACGAGCCUGACAUGUCUGUCC